Molecule: long non-coding RNA, 262 nt
Filed under: Linum usitatissimum (flax)
Lineage: Eukaryota; Viridiplantae; Streptophyta; Magnoliopsida; Malpighiales; Linaceae
Description: long non-coding RNA (LUSI_LNC000807)
Source: RNAcentral
UACUGUCUUCUACAUCAUACCAAACUUGAUUACUAUUCGUAACAUUAGAGAAUGUCGCUAUACUUUCUGCAUCCUCUGUUCUGCCUUUUAUCUUUCUCCCGUUGCCCUCUUUUCCGAAACUUCUUUCAGCAUCACCUCUUUUCUGAAAAUAAGGGGAUACCACUCUUGCUUCAGCACGUAGUCCAAGUACCACCUUUCUCUUCACCCCAACACUCUCUUUCUCAGCAUCGUCGUUCACUUUGCUAAAAUAAGGAGAUAUAAC